Long non-coding RNA from Ictidomys tridecemlineatus (thirteen-lined ground squirrel), 2797 nucleotides. Lineage: Eukaryota; Metazoa; Chordata; Mammalia; Rodentia; Sciuridae. The record is from Ensembl.
GUCCCUGGCUGGUUGUUUUUGCCUGGUUGGUCGUCAACUUCCCCUUGAAAGGGACCAUGAUUUAUUUCUGACCUGGCUCAGUCCCUGGCACAUCAUUGGUACUGCUCAACAUCGGCGGAGCACCCGACUGAGGGGCCCAGUUCUUCUUGCAGGGAACCUGUUCUUGCAGGUACUAAGGAUAUGGAAUGUCUUUGGGACUGGGGUCACCUGGAGAUGUCACAAUGUGCCAGUCGUGAGAGGCAGCAGUGGGAGCCCUAAAUGGCGAAUGCUGGGGUGUCACGCAAUUCUAACCAGGUGGGUGACGGGGCAGCCAAUCACCAGGAGGGGGAGGCACCCAGAUGGGGGAAGGCCCCUUUCCUUACUCCUUUUCCUUGGGAGACCCUGACGACGGAGAGACAGGAAAACAGGAGGAAGCUUGGCUCCCAGAUAAGGGUAGGGAUAGCAGGGUGCAAGCAGGAGUUAGAGGAAACUUCCAGAAAUCUUUACUGCCCUAGGAGAGCCGGGGGAAGAACCCUUUUUCAUGCAACUGAAGAGCAGGUGGAAACCCCCAGGAGCUUGUAGUGGCUCCAGCUUCUCCAUUCAUCAGCCAGACUGGUCUCGUGAUCCUCUGCUUGACAAUGCUGGAGCAGUUCCUGAGGCUGCGAGAAAUCUCAACAACGCUGUAGACCUUUCAGAAACUCCUGUCCAGAUGUCCCCUGCAGCCCUUGGGUUGCUUGAAACCAAGGGGAUUUGCUCCUCUGCGCAUGUGGUGCUGGGCAGGGGAGCCAAGGGUUGCAGAGAUCAGCACUUUGCUGUGUUGCAGAAGCGCUCUGGUGGUCGCUGCAGGGGCAGGGUCUAAGGGGCUCACUGGGGAGGAGGGUGGUGUGCCCACUGCCUUGCUGGGUUUCUGGGUUAUUCCUUCCAAGCAUCUCAUGGUAUUAGUUCCAUACUGGACAGUGGCUGGCCUGCUCCCAGCCCUGGUCAUUGUCCACACCAAGGCCUGCAGACCCAACUCAGUCUCAUGGCAGGGGUUUCCAACCUGGUCAUGUUAGAGGAGGAAAGAGGCCCAGGAUGCACAUACCACUAGUUCAAGGCCACGUAGAGAGUAUAGCCAAUCCAUGUUCACUAAGGUGGAAGCAUCUUGGAGUCAGAAAAUCUGCAAUGUCAGAGGAGGAGGAAGAUCCCCCAGCUCCAGGGAAACCACUGCCCAAACCAGAAUCAAAGCUGAGACCUGAGUCCGGGUGUUCCCACUUGCAGACAAUUUUCACAUUCCUGCUAAUUCUCGAAGUGGAUGCCACCCCUCUCACCUUGCCCAGAAGCUAGGGCAGCUAAGGAAGCAGGGGAGGGGGAUUGCAGAGAGAUGACCCAGCUCGCCUCACUCCUCAAGGCCCCGAGCAAGACAACCUAGAGCCUUUAUCCCCCGCUGUGGCUGCAAGGGCGGAGAGGGUCCCUCUCGGGGGAUGCUGCAGCAUGGCAGGGCGGGGCACAGAGAGCGGGGCACCAUGUCCUGUGGGCCUGCCUGUUCCCCCUUCACACCAGUGGCACUCUGCUGAGAUCCCCCCACCAACCUCAGUUACACACUGUCCCCCUCUUGACUCGUCAUGAGGCUGGGACUUGUGCCAGAGCCACAAGGCUCCCCGUUGGUGACUUUAAGGUCUCUCUGUGGAGGGAUGUCUGUAGGACUUCACACCAGACCCCUGGGAGCCACCCUGGGUGAGGAAUUUGAUGAGAGACUCCUUGGUGAGGUUGAGACCCAUCUUCUGGGGGGAGUCUGUGGGAGUGGCUGUGAUUGACACCAGUCACGAGGGACUUUGAGGCUGGGGAACACCAAUCCAUGGCUAUCCCAUGGUGGGCCUAUUUCCCCCAAAUAAAUCAUGCCUCCUAGCCCAAACUGCCAUGUCCAAAUGCACUACAACUAAGAACCAGUUUGCAAAGCAGGCCCCCCCCCCACCCUCCACAGUGGUUAGAGAGGGACCCACUGUCCCGGGUUGUAGUGCACUUGGAGAUGCCUCUCUAGCUGCUCAGCCCAGGGGAUGGAGUUCACUUCCUCCAACUCCUGCAAGUGUGUAGAUCAUUUCAGGUGCUGCCUUAGCUUCUUCACUGAUCCCUGUCAGCACGUCUGUCCUUUUUGAACUAUUUCUGCACAGAUUGAAGCUUCAGUCUAAUAUUUUGGCUCACAGAUAACCUCCCUUGGUGCCGCCCAACACCUCUUCUUAGACAGGAAGUCACAAAUGAUCAGCAAACCAGUAUUGAAAUGUACAGAGGGAGCUUCACCCAAAGAAAAGGCCCUCAAGCAACUCUUUUGCAAAAGCUCUCUUGGGAGAGCUGUUUCUCCAGUUGGCUUGGAAGUGGGGUCCUAGAGUGUCACCAUGGAGACAAGAGCCUAUCCCACAGCAUAGACACAGGAGGCCUCUCCGUGCCUAGAUGCAGAUGGUAGGUCUGGUUAUAUGUUGCUGGCUUCUCUCAUCUCCCCUUUUAUUUGAGCGGGGCGCUGCUGUUUCCGCUCUGUGCCCACACGGUCUUCCUCCAGAAAAAAACUCAGGUUUAAUUGCAUUGCCUCUUGCUAUUCCCCCCAGCACUGCCUGAAUGUCUGGGCAGCAAGUAGCAUUGAACCAUUUUUAAAGAUCUAAUCCAGAUGCCUCAUCUCACCCUCUUAUUUUAUAGAUGAGGAAACUGAGGCCCAGGCAUCGGGCAGGGACUGGCCUGUACUUACAAAGGUGAGUGGUGGCAAAGUUGGGGAUUGAACUCAGGCCUCCUGACUGCCAGUCCAGGGCUCUUUCUAGCAAGUAGUAUAUUGGCUACAGUUUCAAAAAGGUCC